CGAAGAGGAAGAUGUUCAUAGACACGCUCUAUCUGCAACAGACGUUGAACCGCCAGAUGAUGUGAAUAUUCUUGUAAAAGAAAGCAUCGAUCAGAUGAUCGAGUGGUUGAAGGAAGCACCUGUUGCUGUUGGAGAUCGUGAACCACAGCCGAGGAUCAUCCCUAUCCUAUGGAAUUCACACAAUCCAAAGGAAGAAGAAGACUUAGCAGUCCGUCUUGCACAAGAAGUGUACCAACAUCCCUCCUUGGUGGCCUCAUUUGAUUGCAAGGCCUGGAUACGCGUCGGAAGGAGCUGUGAUCUACACCAUAUAUUGCAGGAAAUACUUGUAAAAGUAGAAUCCCUUCCAAUUCCAGAUGUAGAAGAAAACACGCUGAGGACCGAUACAGAUCAAAGUUCGGAAACAACAGUGGGUGAUGAGGCCAUGGAACUCGCCAAGAAACCUCUGGACUAUCUGAAAGGUAAACGUAUCUUGAUUGUUCUUGACAAUGUGCCAGAGAGACUACCAUGGGAUAACAUACGAUCUGCUUUAUCUCAUAGUAGCUAUGAUUGCUCUCCCGGUAGCGCUAUAGUCAUCACGACAUGGUCAGAUGAUGUAGCAAAUUCAUCGUCUCCGUACAAGAUAUUGAAACCACAAAGUUGUUUUUUUGUUUUCUACGAUAAAGCAAGGGAGCUUACUGGUGGAUCUGAUAACAACACUAUGGAGAAUGUAGGGCGUAUCUUAGGAGCAUGUUACCCUGAGGUCUUCGCAAUGGAAAUCUUCCUACAUCUUCUGCAUGUCAAUCCGAACAGGAGUAGGACACAGCUAGGCAACUUUGUGAAAAAAUUAUCAGAUUGUGGGUCAUACAAGAGAGCUGCAAAGCAAAUGGUAAGAUUCUCGUACAAUGACUUGCCAACCAAGUACAGGAGCUGCUUGUUGUACCUAGCUAUCUCUCCAGAGAAUAACCGCAUUAGGAGAACAACUGUAUCUAGAAGAUGGAUAGCUGAAGGCCUCAUAGCUACAAGAGAGAAUCGCCCGGAAGAUGAAGCUGAUCGCUGUUUUGAUGCCCUCGUCUCCUGGGGACUUAUUAAUCCUGGUGAAAUCAGUGAUGCAGGCAAGAUCAAGAGCUACACAAUGCAUCAUGUGGUUCGUGAAGUCAUAGCCAGGAUUGCUAAAGAUCUAAACUUUGCCAAUUCAGACCUGUCGCCUGAUUUGGCUCGCCACCUUCCUGUUCACCAUGGAAUAGGACUGCAAGCUUCUCAUUACAGUUAUCCUGUGGCAUCUGGUGGCAAUGGCAUCGUAGCACUUCUUCCAUAUCUGUCCAAGUCAUCCCAGUGGCAGCUAUUGAGAAUGUUGGACCUAGAAGGCUGCAAAGGCUUGAAGAAGCAUCAUUGGAAGAGCAUCUGUAAGAUAUUGUUGCUCAAGUACUUGAGCCUCAGGAACACAGAUGUCAGUCAACUGCCGAAGAAAAUCGAGAACUUGCAGUGCUUGGAGACUCUGGAUAUCCGGCAAACAGUGGUGAGGGCAUUCUCCACAAAGUCAGUCAUCCUUCCAAUGCUGAAGCAUCUGCUUGCUGGCCAGACAGAUUCUCCAAGCAACAACACUGAUAGGUUUAAGGAGUCGUUUACAACAGUGCGCCUUCCUAGUGGCAUCCGAAGAAUGGUAAAAUUGGAGGUGUUGUCCCAUGUUGAAGUUUCCGACAAUGUUGAUGGUUUAGUUGACAUUGGCCAGCUGCUACAGCUGAGGAAUCUGGGUCUAGUUCUCCAUGGUAACAAUGGUUGCUUGGGUCUUGUACUUCAACAGGUGGAGAAGGUGUGUGCCUGCCUCCGCUCUUUGUCAAUCCGAGUGAACAAACUGGACAGAAGUGAGGGUAGUCAUGAUGGGGAGGAGGUGUUUGAACUAACCUCACCUCCAAAACUUCUUGAGAGCCUAAACAUCAGUGGCAUCACAAGUGGGCUUCCUGUCUGGAUUGCAGAGCUCGAUCAACUUUCCAAGAUAACAUUAAGUGAGACUUAUCUGGGCGAAGCUGCAGUACGCACACUUGGAAGGCUUAGAAUCCUGCGCUGCCUCAAGCUGAAGUGCAAGUCAUUCGCCCA
Molecule: ribosomal RNA, 2073 nt
Filed under: Triticum aestivum (bread wheat)
Lineage: Eukaryota; Viridiplantae; Streptophyta; Magnoliopsida; Poales; Poaceae
Description: partial small subunit ribosomal RNA
Source: RNAcentral